GCAAGCUAAUUGUCAUAAUGAGACUGACUCUGAAGAGGAUGAGGAAGUAGUUGGGGCAUUUUCACAUCGGUGCAACACACUAUCGCAUCGGGUUGUCGAAAAGGAUGAUGUCCCAUUGAAAGAGGCAAAGAUGGAAGAAGCGAAGGCUCGUAUUUGUAGGGCCAAAGGCUUAAUGUUCAUUGAUGUAAAAAUCAAUGGGAAGUUAAUCAGGGCUAUGGUGGAUACUGGUGCUACCCACAACUACCUUGCAUGUACCGAAGUAGAGCGGCUCGGACUGGUUCUAGAAAAGGGUAGUGGAAAAGUCAAAGCAAUCAACUCCGCUGCUCAACCAAUAGCUGGAAUGGCAAAAUCGGUGUUGAUCAAAGUAGAUCCCUUCGAGGGAAGGACAAAUUUAUCUGCAGUUCAGAUGGAUGAUUUCAAGCUUAUUCUAGGAUUGGAAUUUCUUCGGGAUACUAAGACAGCAGUGUUGCCAUAUUCCGAUUCGUUAAUGAUGAUGGGUAAUAAGCCGUGUGUCAUCCCUACACAGGUUGGGAGGAUAGGCGAGAAGAGUAUCUCAGCCAUGCAAUUUGGUAAAGGUUUCAAGAGAAAUGAACCCUCUUUUUUGUGUACUCUUCGAUUAGAGGAGGUCGAAGAGGCGAAUGGUCCUAUUCCAAAACCCGUUAAAAGGCUUAUUCGGGAAUUUGAGGACAUCAUGCCGGAAGAAUUACCAAAGAAAUUACCAC
RNAcentral lists this long non-coding RNA (722 nucleotides) under Olea europaea subsp. europaea. Lineage: Eukaryota; Viridiplantae; Streptophyta; Magnoliopsida; Lamiales; Oleaceae. The record is from RNAcentral.